This 28-nucleotide non-coding RNA is filed under the name Rattus norvegicus (Norway rat). Lineage: Eukaryota; Metazoa; Chordata; Mammalia; Rodentia; Muridae. The record is from RNAcentral.
UGGGGAAGCCUCUUAAUGUACUAACCUU